This 13685-nucleotide long non-coding RNA is filed under the name Marmota monax (woodchuck). The record is from RNAcentral. Lineage: Eukaryota; Metazoa; Chordata; Mammalia; Rodentia; Sciuridae.
GAUAAAAACGUGGAAGCCAAAAAUCCUACAAAGGCUAAAGUNUAAGGAAAGCCAAGUCUCACAAGUAAAGGAGACAUGAUGCUCUAGGACUCAUGCAGGUCUAAUUCACAGUUUUCUUUUCAGUGUUACCAAGUUCAAAAUGAAUAAAAAGUUCUCACCAAGGAAACAUUUCUACUUUCAAUAAUUGCUUAACACAUUUUAUGGAUUAAAAUAGAGCCUUAAAAUAGCCCUGUAUAUCUAUCUACUUGUCUGUCUCUCAUCUGUCCCUUGUCUAAUUGAUGGACAGGUUGUAAUACAUUCUUAGUAGAUAUAGAGGACAGCACACACAUCCGGGGUGGUGACACACACCUGUAAUCCCAGCAGCUCUGGAGGCUGAGACAGGAGGAUCUGGAGUUCAAAACCACCUCGGCAACUUAGCGAGACCUUGUCUCUAAAUAAAAUAUAAAAAAGGGCUGGGGAUGUGGUUCAAUGGUUAAGUGUCCCUGGGUUCAAUCCCCAGUACAAAAAAAAAAAAAAAGAGAGAGCACACAUGUUCUGAUGUUCACUCGUUGGUAGUGAAAUAUGUGAAGCCUUUUCUGAGUUUCACUGAAGAACUAAUGUUUUAAAACACGCAAACAAAUACUUUAUGUGACUAUUGGAUUUUAGAAAAGUGAUAAUCCAUAAUUCCUUUCCAUCAGCCAAACUGCACAGAAGAUAAAUUGUAAAGUUAUAUGAUGACAUCGCUGUGUGUAUGUAUGCAGAUAUAUAAAUAAAUUCGUUUUUUUUAAAUUUAAGAAUGAUAAGUCUGUAAUUAUAGAACUAUAAUCACAGAAUUAUAAAAAGAAGCAUAAUUUUAUAUAUGUAGUUAUAAAUAGCAUCAGAAUUAGUAGCUAACUUGUUUCUGAUAGGCAAUAGAUUCUUGGAGAUAAAAUUAAGAGAUUUUAAAAAUGAAAAAUUUGAAAACUUAAUUUUCGUAUUUCAUUAACAUGCAUCUUGCAAAUGUAAUUUUCUUUCUUAAAUUGAUUUGCAUUCACUCAUUUCAUCCAUAAUUUGGUUUAUUCUAUAUUUGGCUUAUUACUCAUUUUUUCAUGACAUAAUACAAAGUGUACACUAAAAGAAUUUACAGAAUACAGUUUCAAUUAAGAAUGUUUUAGGCCUUAUGAACAUAUAAAGUGACUUUGAGCAAACUCAGAAAAUAAUGUGAAUACGAGGUACUGAUAAAUUUUCUAGUUCAUCUGAAGGAAAAUGGAUUUUAUACCAAUCUGAAUGUUUCUUAGGCCUGGCUCUGUACAAGGAGAGCAAAGAAUGUUGUGUAAGGCAAUGUGGUGCAUAAACAGAACUUCCUGAUAAAAUUCAGGAUGUCAGGUGUUGCAGGGGAAAUGUGUGUGUGAAAAAUAUUGUUUGUUGUUUAUCUGAAGUUCAAGUUAGACUGGACAUCCUGAAUUUUACCUGCUCCACCUGGCAAUCCUAUGUAGAAGACCAGAUUGGAAAUGGCAUUUUCAGAGUUUACCAUAAAGCCAAACAUGGUUCUAGGCAUGUAAUAAAUGUUGAAAAUGUGUUAGCAAGUAAUAAUAAUAAAAGUGACAGAGAUAAAUAUGAGAUAUUUUGAUAGGUUGACCAAAUAUGAGAAAAGCUCCCCAAUGUGCCUCAUAUAUUGUAUGAUGUGGGGAGUGGUGAAAAAUGACUCCUUAAACAUUAUUGAGAAUAAUACCAGCUCUUGAGGAUGAAUUUCAAGCUAUAUAUGUAUCAUGCAUGGCUUAGGUAUUUGCCAAGAGGAUUAUUCAAAAAAAAAAAAAUCAAUGAAAAGCAAAAUUUUCUGUGAACAGAUGAAAAUGUGAAUAGCUGUGGAAUCAGGCCAAGCCAAGAUAUUUUAAACUAAGGUGCUUUAAGCUAUUUCCUCAGGAACCUUAAGGAGAAAGUUAAAGAACAUUCUCUAAAAAUGCACUUUAAAGAUUUAUUGCACACAAAUUUUGCUCACGUAGACCUUAUAAUUUUUAAAAAUAAUAUUAAAGAUUGAAAACCUGAACCCGCUGGUGGCUUCUUAGAGUGUACAGAACCGAAAAAGGAUAAAAUGAAAAUCCUCCUUUUCAAGACCAUUGUUUUUUUCCCUCACAUAAGUGGAAGCAGUUUUCAUAAAGAUUAUGUAAUUGCACUAUCUAGUUAAGAGAAUUGCUGGAACUCAACCUUGGCAACCUGACCUGAGGAGGUGCACUCUUUCUAUACCUUGAUAUAUAUGAGGCAGAAGAGACUUUAAUUUCAGGAAUAAUUCAAUAACUGCAAGUUUGUUAAUAAUUACUAUUUGAUGUUUUAGAUCUCCUCUGUUAACACUGCCCACAUAUACUCAUCCAACCACCUGUCAAAAGUUGUGCUGAGGAAUUUACUUCAGGCAAGUUGGUGCCAAUGAGUUAUUCUAUUGUGUUCUUGGAGAUGGGGUGGAAAGUAACAUUUAUUUAAAAUUCCAAGAUAAGGAAGAAUAGAAAUACUAUGGCAUUUUGCUGUGGCUAAACUAAUGAGAAAUUAAAUUUCAUUCAGGUUUUUAUCUUUCUUUUUGCAUCUAUAAUCUGAUGAACAUCAAACCAAUUUUCACUUUCCAUAGUCUCUAAUAUAUAGCUUUGAGAUAGGCUCAUUGUUCCUCACAAUUUAAAAAAAAAUCUUAACUUGGUGUCCUUUCUUGUUAAUUUUUUUUUUCAUUCUUUAUAUGGGAGUGUCCAUUCCUUUUGUCCAUUGCUGGCAGCCUGACUCUUGCUGUUUGUCCCUGAUGAUUUUGCUUUGGCUGCCACGCUGAAGAACAAGGGGAGACUGCAAAGACUAUGUUGCACCAUUUCCAGGUAGUUCCCCUUCCGAGUGGGGCAGAGAACUCAAAGAAGAAAGACCCCUGGCGCUGGAGAGCUCUGACGUGAUGGAGAGGGGACAGCAAAGAUAGAGUCCUCCUGCAGCUUUCCUAGCAAAUGAUGCCUUGUGACCUCUGAAAUAGAAUCUGAGCUUGCCAUGAAAGUCUCUGUAAGAUUAUCUAGUUUACCCCAGUCCCUGCAGAGUGCCCCAACAGUUCCUCAUCAGGGAUGGGACCAUCUUCAGUGAGGGAACAAGUCUUCCUCCCUGUCAGCCUGACCACAUACUGACCAGCAUAUUCCUCCCUGUCAGUCUGGCCACACCCUCUGCUAACGUGCAGAUUUCCUCAUUUACAAUCCUCCUUAGACUGGGGUCCUCACCUCUCCUGUGUUUUUCCCCUUUUGCCAAGACUCAUCACCGUUCCUCGAAGAGAAUUCCUUUGACAGCUGAAGACUGAACAGUCAUGACCUCUGAUUGUUCUUUCCAGAUCAAAUCCUUAUCCAAGAACUCUGGGCGGUAUGGUUUCCAGACCCAUCAACAAUCUGCCUGUUCUUCAAUUUUCUAUGCCUCUUUUUUAAGCGUGGUCCAAGAACUGAAUAUAAAAAUUCAAGACAUUCUCAUCAGUACCUAGUAAAUAUGAUUCUUCUUACCUGUCCCAGAAAUUAUAUCUUUAUUAUAAGAUUACAUUAGAAUUUUAUCAUUCAUAUCAUGAUUUUGACAUCUAUUUUGAUAUUUAAAAAGUCAAAGAAGUUGACUUAAUACAAGCUAUUGAUAAGUCAAAAGUUUGCUAAUUAAGUUCUUUUUUGAUGGAGAUUUGGUUAUCCAUCUUAGCACACUUUAUCAAGUUUCUCUUCACUCACAUAUUGUAUAAAUAUUUUAUUUCUUCUUUCAAGUCACUUGCCGAUCUAUAUUAGAUUGAAUUAGAUUUUUUUUUUUUAGACCCAAAUCCAAAAAGAUAUUAGUUACAUUGAAGAAUACUUUUUCCACUUUGAUUACCAUUGUGUAUUGCUUUCUUGGCCUAUUUUACUUAGAAAUGUCCUUUUUUUCCUUAGUGGGGAAAUUUCUAGAUAAGGAUUAAGACAAUCACAUUCUUUCUACAACAUACGGGAGGAAACUACUUAAGAACAAACAGUAAUUUCAAGCAACAUGUUUUAAGUAGCCUUUAAAAAUAUCAACAGUAUUACAGAUAUUUUGUGGCAAGCAAAAACACUUUUGCUUAGGGGGAAAGCUACAUGGAACUGCAUUUAUUACUUAUUCAUUCAAAUAUUUACUUAGCAUAUACUAUGUGCCAGGUUUAUUUCAUGGGGAGUGAACAAAACAGACUUAAGCUUUAAAGGAGAAAGAGACAAUCUCUAGUCAGGAUCAGAAAAUUAUUUCUGGUAAAACUCAUCACAGGAAUAAAAGUCACAGGUGAAAAACCACAUUCUGUAUUUUGGAAAUGAAGAUUGAAGUCAUUGUCAAAUGAAGCAACAAAGAGCCCUUGUAACAAAGGGCUCUCAUGGAGUAUAUUUUUUUAAGACCAAACACCAAGUUUUGUACAAGUUUGCUGUUUAGAUGGUUUUCUAUUUCUAAACUUUCUUUCCUAUUACCUGGUCACAAGCAUGUACUUGCAAAUACCUAUGCUCAUGCAGCCUGCCGUGACUUCCAGGAACUGGUUUUAAAUGUAUGUUGGGAAUUAGCAUCCGUGCUGGCUACAUCACCAAACAUGGGAAAAGAGACCCCUUCGCUGUGGUUUGAUGUUCACGGUGUUCACAUCAAUGUCCCUGUUUCCUGAGUUAGGAUUUAGACAUGGAUUUGUAAUUCUUAAGGCAUGGGAUCCUUUGGAUAUCUUUUCUCACACUCCAGUUCAGAUGGAAAUUUUUGGUACCUUACCAGUGGCAACACAGUAAUAUCAAGAGAGGGUGUUUUUUAUUCUCAGAAUACCUGUCUGGGAGAAAGCAGAUCAAGACUUUGGAGAUAAAAUAUUUUUACUUCUUUGCUGACCAGAUUCAUCUUCAAGUAAUUUUCUAACUUAAUGUUUUUUAAUACUUAGAGUUUAGGUUCUGUAUUUCCAUCUUUCAAUUGUAUUUACAAAAUAAUUUUAAUGUAACUUGAAAAGGUUACAUGUGCUCAAGAUACAAAAAUUAGAAAAUGUGAAAAAUGAAUUUAAAAAUUCACUUACAAAUAUAACCACCAAAGUUAGCUAAUGUUAUCAUUUGGAUAUAUUUAAAAAUGGAUUACAAUGUAGCCAUCUUUUCUAUUCACUUACCAUUUAUUGAAAAUAUGUGUGCAAGGUGCUAAACAUACUUCUUUCUUUUGAAUUUAAAGAUGGAUUGCAUUAAUUUUAUGUGCAUUUAACCAUUAUUUUAACAAAUCUCUGUCAUAAAGCUUUUCUUAUUUCAUUAGGGCAAUUUCUAAUAUGUAGGAGAAUACGUUUUCAGGCUUGAUGAAACCAAUUCUAAAUAAUCUAUAUAAUAAUAACUUUUUCCUUACAUUAUACAUAUAAUAUAUACCUUAUAAUGUAAAGUUGCUGAAAGUUUAUAUUUAUUAUAGUUAUCAUUAAUUAGUGAAUCAUGUAUGUAUUAUAGUAAUAAUUACCAUACUAUCAGUGCAGUAACUUCUAUAAUAGUAUUCACAUUUAUGCUGCAUAUAAUAACUAAAAUGUUUCAUUUAGUGUUUAUGCAACAGUAAUUAUUUUCAUCAUGCACAAAUGACAUAAUAAUUAAUUAGGCAGUGAUGUCAUCUCAUGGCUCAUUUCUGCCACCUAAGUGCUUAGCCAAGUCUGGAAUGUGAUAGUUGCAUAUUUUUGUUCAAUAAGUGAUUGAACAUGAAAUAAUGAAAUCUUAAUUUGAAAAAAUAACUCACACAGGGUUUCUACAUAUGUUUCUCUUUCUGCAUUUAGUAUAAAAUAUAAGGAAGGAACAUUUAUAGAGAUGAAAGUUUAUUUGAGAUAACUCUGUUUAUCCCUAAUUGAAUGCAGAGUGAAGAAUAUAAUUAGUAUUGAAAUUAUCUUCUGCUGUUUUCUCUAAUGAGAAGAAAACAGAAAUGGACACGACAGGAACCAUCAUCUGGAUGCCAAAUGCCGGCAAAGGCAGCCAACAGCUUUUUCUGAGCAGUAGCAGCUCUUCGUGGUUCUGAGGGGUUGCAGAAGUCACUUAAAUUCUCUGCAAUUAGUGAUCUUAUAAUGUCAAAUCCAUAUUUAGAAGAGGAUGCUAUUUCUAAUAAGUUUAAUCUUGGUUUUGGGAAAUCAUUGGACAAAAAUUACAAAUUGACAUAUGGUCUUUCUAAGAAACACAAGUUGGAGCUUUUUCGGCCUUUAUAAAAGUAACAUUGAAAAAACUAUAAAUAAGAAAAAUUAAAUUACAUAAUCACACCUAACAUAUUAUUUCAAAUCCCAACUUCUUUCCUAAUAUGUUUAUAUGAAGAGGACAAACAUGUCAUUUUAUAUUUCUAAAUGAAAUAUUUAAAAAAUUUUAUUUUAUUGUGGUAAUAACCACUUACGAUGACAUUUAACAUCUCAGUAAUAUAGUAUUGUUGACCAAAGGUACAAGAUAUAGCUGUUCAAAAAGGUCACAUUACAUUUUUUUUUCUCCUAGAUGAGAGUGAUGUUGGAAGCAUAAUACAAAAUCAGUGUAUUUGAUUGGAAAAUAUGAUAAAAUAAAUCCUUGUUAAUAAACUUAAUACUUCUAUAAUCAGAGGCAAUUUGAGUGCAAACAGACACAGUUCGGCUAAGGACAUUGUGUUUCUUUCCCUCCGCCUCUAGGGAUGGUAGGGAAAGUGGACUGUGUCUGGCACUGAAGAGAGAGCCUUCUUGAAUCACAGUGUGACACAGAAGUGAUGCUAUUCACCCCCCAAAAGUAACAAGUUACAUAAAGAAACCAGUGUCAGGUCUGGGUUCUCAAAACAAGGUUUUGCUCCCAAGAGUGAGCUGCAGCAUUAUCUGUAAAGAUUCCUAUUCCUACCUCUCUUUAUUUUUCCUCUUUCUUACAGAUAUGCCAAGUUCUUAUUUUCUUUGGUGCUUGCAAAGGAUUAGUUAGCAUAAUGUGAGGUGUUGAGUAAUAGCUCUACUGCUUCUCUUUCUGUUUAUUGAGGAACUUCUGUCACUUGUUUGAUUAAGUAUUGUACCUGCUGGUUUUUGAAGCACCUGAACAAAACCCCCAAAUUUAAGAUGAUCCAUAGUGAUAAUUUUAUAUCCAGUGAGGACAACUACAUCAGCCAGAGGGACUAUGGUGAUGCUUCAUACAUAGACCUCUACAACUCCUGAGAGUCUAGAAACUUCUGAAGGAUCAAUCUCAACUGAUACUUGAAAUUUGGGCUUCAGUCCAAAAGAGAAUGGUGCAAAUCCUUGUGAAGUAUAGUGCCCAUUACUUUGUUGCAUCUUCUUGGUUUUAUACUGGAUGUUUGGAAUAACGUAGGGGAGGGGGAUAAAAUGAUAAAGGAAGGAAAGAAAGUUGGCAAUUUGCACCAUUGUUUUCUCUUAAUAAUUGCUCUUUCCGAAGAGUGCAUUAGCAGAAAACAUUUCUGAUCUUUAUUAACUUGGCAGGGUGUUAAUCCUCAGGUCAUAGGAAUUUUUGUACAACCUAAACAUUUUGCUAAAACAGUGCAGUGUUUAAAGGGAAAAAAUCAAUACUGUACAAUACUGCACGUGUAUGGAUAUUAAAUGCUGUAUGGUAUCAUUGAAAAAUUCUGUUGCAUUUGGAGAUUUGGAUGCUGAUUUACAUAUGGACAAGGGAUACUGGCAUAGCCAAGAUGAGGAGGAAUUCUAGAUGCAUCUGAAGAGUUCAUCUAUUGCUAUGGAAACAGAUAGAUCCUAGCAACAGCAGCUUGGUACAGAGCUGACAUGCAGCAGCCCUUAAGCCUAAAACAAGAGGAAAAUGAGCCGUGAAGAAAUCUUAUAGUAUUUAUAUUUUUUUAAAGUUUGAAGUGUACAGUAGAACAUUCAUACAUAAAUAUGUCAAAAGAAUAAGCCUAUAGAAAUUGAACCUUAUUUUCUCACCAUCAUAGGACCCAACAUAUUACUCAGUAUAUUAUAAUAAUGACUGUAUUUUUUGAUUGCAAAAUAAAAUGCCACAUAUCAGAUAGUCAAUACUAGACUAUAUUUUUGCUGAAUCCAGAGAUAGUUAUUCAAUGAUGCUUUUAAUAUACAAGCUUUGUCCUUAGCAAUUCUUAGAACCUUAUCAGUAUAAAAUUCUCUAAAUACUUCUCAGUAAAUGAAAGAGAAAUUCAUAUGACUUUAGGAGUUUAAUCAAAGCUUAAAAAAUGUUGUGGUUAUAUCUUUUUAUUAAUAGAAAUAGAAUAGUUUUCUUGUGCAUUAAAUUUUCUAGCUAAGUGCUUCAAAUAUUCUUCUUACAUGUUAAAACAUUUAUUUAUGCAAAAUGAAAAUGAAAACCAAAUGUUUGUAAUAAUUUCACAAUAUUUUGUAUGGUGUGCUUGUGUUUGUGUGUUUGUGUGUGUGUGUUUGUGUGUGUGUGUGUAUCUGUCUUUCAAUUUUAGCAAAUAGUUACCAGGGAACAGGGAGUAUUUUUUUUGUAACUUUCAAUCAUGACAUAAAAGAUAUGAAAUUAACAUUAAUUAAAGGCUUUUGAAAGCCACACUAUCGUAUUUAUUGGACCACAGAAAGUUACAUCUGGAGUAGAUCAAAUACUUGCUCUAAUAAAAAUUAACACCUUGACAGGGGGAAUGGUUUGAAUUUUAUUUUAUUUUUUGAAGAAAUAUAUUUGCUUCCUGCUUGGGCAUGGAACUUCACAUUUAUGAUUUUUUUUUAACAGUAGAAUCUCGUCAAAUGUAAUUAUAAAUAAAUAAAAAAAAACAACCUCACUGGAAUGAGUCACUUGUAAAAGAGACUAUCAAAAAGUGUAGGAGGAAGAUACUCCAAACAUGAUGAACUGCAAGAAGAGAGAAGCUUUGAGAACUUUUCAUUAAGCUAGGUUUGUAGUGAUUGUUUUUUUUAACUUGGUGCUAAGGGAUAGAGAUCUCAGGGCCUCUUGCAUGCUAAGCAUUUGCUCUACCACUGAGUCACAUACCCAGCCCUAUGUUUAUAAAACAUUUUAUUUUGAAGGCAAAAGUAAAUAUUUGGCAGUGCAAGCCAUUUUAGGUGUCUGAUCAUUAGUCACGGAUGUAAAUGUCUCUAUUUGUAAUUGUGCUGCUUAGUCAAACAAUACUUUCUGCUCUUUGUACUGUCAAUAACAGGGAACCAGAAAAGAUACCAGUUGUUUUUCUCUGUACAGAAACUCCUUACCAUUUAAUAGAUUACCAAUGGAAAGUGGAGCUUAUUAUGACUAUUCCACAUAAGCUUCCAAAUAAAAAUUUGUAUUAAAUAUGCCAUUAAACUAACUUCAAAAAUCUAGAUCACUCAUGAACUAUGAAUGAUACUGACGCCCAACAAGUUUGUGGAGGGACAGGUUUCAUAUCUGUAGGUUUGUUAGCCUGUGUUGUGAUUUUGGUGAGCCACGGCACGUCAGUUGGCACUACUGAUGAAAGCCCCAGAUCCCUGUCUUCUCACAGUCAAUGAAUUGAAGCAAAUAGGAGGCCUGAUGACAAAUGGCAGCAAUGAGUAUUGGCUUGGGCUUUAGCAUCCCUCUGUUUCUAUUAGCUUAUGAAAUCAUCAACAUCCGUUUUGAUAUAAAUGAUAUGCUUUCUAUCUGAAUGUAACGUUAAUAUACAUCCUGUGGACUUCCCCUUUCUCUUUUCCUGGACCCUUCAAGAUUCGGGAUCCUAUCUGUACUCUCAAAAAUUUGAGAACUGUGGCUGAGAACAUGUGAAUGUCUGUUUACCAUCACAUAGAGAACUGUGUGUAUGACUCAAAGAACCAAGCUCAGUGAUGACUGAUUUUCAUAUCACUUGGACAGUGGUGUCUAAACUGCUCCAUUCUUGAUAGAUUGUUUUUGUUUUAGCUCUCAUGAGGAGAGUCUCAGAACCCAGAAAAAUUAUCCUGUUUUAAUUUAGUUACAUCUCUAUCUAUACUGGUUAAAACAAAAAUUUGAAGGUAGUCCUGGAAUUUUAUUUCCCAACUCUUAUUUACAAUCACUAAGUCCUAUCAAUAUAUUUUUAAAACAAUUCCCCUAUAGUGCUACUAUGCGAGGCUUCUAACUCCUAUGUCUACUGCUGUCUGUUCUCACUUCAAUCAAUCUUUCCCACAAUUUCUUCCUGAACUUUCUCAACUCCAUUUCAAUGGUUUUGGUCUCCUACUCAAAACUUUUUAAUGGCCCCCUAAUCCCCUCACAAUAAAGUAAACUUCUGUUGUAGGAUACAGGAUCCUCAAGACCUGACCUUUGCCCAACACUCCAGCCUUAUGUUUUCUCUGCUCUUUAAAAUUCCAAGCAACAGCCUGUUUUCUGAACUGUGCUUGCUUUAGCCCUUUACCCCUCACUAAGAAACUUCCUUAAUCUCUAAAACAGGUUCCAUUUGUCCUUCAAGACCACCAAACAUGUUAUUCUAAGUUUUUUAAAAAGGAGAAUUGCAAACACAUAUAAACUUCAGGUAUAAUGAACCCCAUGUAACCACUAACAUAUACAACUACUUUCCUAUGGCUAAUAUUUUCUAGUUUCUCCUUUGUUAUUUUGUAGCAAUCCUAUUAAUCAUAUUAUUUCUUCUUAUUAUAGCUCUUAAAGAUAUUUUGAAAAUCAAAUUCAAUAACAUUGCCUAAAAAUAAUUAACAGUAAUUCCUUAAUACCCCAUCUAUUUGACAUGUGUUAUCACUGUAUUUUUAAUUUACUGUUUUUUAAAUGUCUUGCCAUUUGCUACUGGAAUCUGAAUCAGAAAAGGGCCACAAAUUGCAAUUGGUUUAUGCAUCCAUUAUCUAUAAAUUUUCUUUCUAACACUUUCCCCCUGGCAACUUAUUUAUGGAAGAAAUUAGAUUAUUUAUACAGGGGAGAUUCCAACUAUCUAGAUUUUGCUGAUUGUUCUUUAAUGAUGUUCUUCUGUCUUCUCUUUUGUCUGUCUUGAUAAUUGGAUCUAGAAACUUAAUUACAUAUAGGUUCAAUUUUUUUUUUUUUUUUUAAGUAAGACUACUUCGGUGGGGCUAUGGUGUCCUUCCAUCAUGAAUCAGGCACUGUGUGGCUACUACAUCUAUUUUCAUGGUGCAAGGAGCUGUUUACAAUUUGAUUCAUUAAUUCAUUAUGAGCUGGGAAAUUGUGGGAUCCCCUCCAUCAUUUAAUAAUUAGAUUACUUCAAAAAGUAAAAAACUCCCUUCAUUUUUUUAUUUGGCUUUCGAUGGUAGAACUUAUUUGCCACUUUUUAUUUAUUUACCAUCUUUCAAAACAGUAGUUGACCAUCACUUAUAAAAAGUGUACUUGGAAUCAUAUGAAAAUGACACACUUUAUGUUUCUGUCAUUUUAGUUAUUUUUCUCAUCAGUAUUCAAAUUUUCUCAUUUUUGGUCAAUAGGAAUCUCUUAGGUUGUCUCCUGAGCUUUCUUUGUUGAGCUUUAUGAGUCUUUUUCUUCUUAAAUAUCUGAUAUAACAAAAUGUUUCAGGCUCAAUUUGUUUAUUUCCUACCUAGAACUGAAUCAGCCAUUUCUCAAACUAGCUAUUCUGUUUCUUUGAAUAAAAGAUAAGAAAUAUGAUGUGUCAUAAUUAUAUUUUUAAUUCAAAUUCAGGACCAUGGAGAUUUUGAUGAGUCUCUUCUACCUUACAUCUGUCUUACUCCUGCACUGAGAAUCCUGGUUCUCAAAGGUGUUGGUUGUGACAGAAUACCACAGAGGUAUCUAUUUAAUUUACCUCUUAUCACACAUAGAAUGAUAUCAGAAUUAUAACAUAAACAUUGCUACCAACUAUAUGAUUUGCAAGAUAAUUCAAUUUAUUUCCCUACCUCUCCUUGUCCUUUUGUCCUGUUUAUCUUGUUAGUCAUGGUAAACCUUUAAAGCCUCAUAGUAGUUUCUCUCUGUGUGGACAUAUCAUAAUUAACAUACCCUGUGGGGUUCAUUUGUGUCAAUUCAUUCAGGUUUCUUAAGUGGGUUGGUUGUGGAUUAGUGACCAGAGCACAUGCUCAGCAUGAGAAAAGCCGUCUUGUGAUCCCCAGAAACACACACACACACACACACAAUUUCUUAAAAUUAAAAAUAUGCACAAUUGAUUUUUUUAUUACAUCAAAUAUUUUCAUAAUUUAAAAAUCAAAAUGAAGGUGUCUAGUGUCCUCAUUCCUAAUACUUCCUUUAUUUAUGGAUAUCAAUUUUUUAAAUAUUAUUUUUUUGUUAAUAUGAAAUGUACACACAAAAAAAACACACUAAAUUACAUUUUUUAAAGAGAUACAGUGCACCAUACUAUACAUUCUUUUUGCCUUGCUUUUUUUUAGUAAAAACUUUCGCUAAAAUCAGUUCCUACUAGGAUAUAUACAUAUUCCUCAUUCAUUUAUUACUGCCUUAUAGUAACACAUUGUGGCUGUGUGAUAUAAUUUAACUAACUCCCUACUGAUGUACAUUUAAGUUGCUCUAACCAAUAAUUCCUGCAAUGAAAAGCUUUACUUAUGUUUUUAAAAUUGUCAUGUCAGUAUAUAUGUGAGGUAUAUUUGUAAACCUGGGAUUACUGGUCAAAAGAUAAAUGCUAUGAAAUUUUGCUGGACAUUUUCAAAUUUUCCAUUGCAAUGUCUCUAUGCUAGUUUCUCUGUAGAGAUACAUUAAAGUGCCUCUUUUUUUCAGUUUCAUUAAUUGUUUUCUGAUUUUGUGACAAGCUAAUAAAUGAAAAACUCUUGGUGAAGUUUUUUUUUUUUUUUCUCUUCUCGUGAACAAAGUUGAAUACUUAUUCACAUGAUUAAACCACUUGCAUUUAUUAUUUCUACAAAUUGAUCUAAUCUCUAUAGGCCAUUUUUAUAUAGGGCCAUCAAAUCUCUUCCAUUUUUAUCAACAUUAAAUAAUAGUAGGGUUACCAAUCUGUUACUAUUUUAAAUGAUCAAUAUUUAAGUCAUCAAUCUAUUUCGAACUUAUCUAAAUUCCUUAUUACCUUCCUUAUAGUAUUUUAGGCCAUUGGAGAUUUUUUGUUUAAGCCUUAUAGUUUUUCUGUACUACUUUGCUUUUUUCUUUUUGCCUCCAGAAUUUGAAUCCUAGGUGGCAAGGUAUUUCCACUAAAGUUUACGGUACUUCAGCCAAGUUGUUCUAGCACUUGGUUCAGGGGGUUGUGUGUUUCACUCUGAUCCAUUUGACACUUGCCUUGUUGAAUCCUGUGAGUAACGGGUCCAGCUUCACUGCCUAUCUAGGUAGCUCUCCAGCCAUUCAAGGGCCGCUGAUUAAAAGGAAAAACAGAAACAAUGGUACAAAUUUGAGAUUGUCUUUCAUCAUACAUCAUUUGUAUGUGCAUUUCAGAGUAUUUAUCAUUUUCUAUGGUUUUGUUUAAGCCAUGCACAAACCCCACAGUGUUUCCAGUACAGCAGCUUUAUGGAUCAAAUUAGCUUUAUAUUAACAGGGCUGUUCCCUCCUUCCUCUCCAUCUUCAGAGUUCUCUUUGGUUUCACUGCUUACUGGUGGUGGACUGCAACCUGAGCAUUCAGAGGAUGCUUCACCUUCCAUCUUGAGAUUUCUUUCUUGUUCUUUUUAACAUGCUUAUUAAUAACAUUUAUUUUAUUAUUUAAAUAACAUUGAACAUACUUCUUUUCAAAGAUAAUAAGUCAGAAUAAAGUCUUAAAAUCCAUCUAAAGUCUAACUCAUGACAUUCCAAUAUUAAUAUAUAGUAUUUUGGGUGCUAGCAAAUCAUUCUGUUUCCCCCUGUGGUAGCUGACUGGCAGACUCCAGUUCAACUUAGCAAGUUAAGAGUGGAAUUAUUCACCUGGAACUCUACAUUUUUUAAAAAACUGUUCAAGGUGCUUCUCCAAGCAUUCCUCUCCUACUUAUACUUAGAACAUCAUGCUGAAGAUACUAUCCCUUUUCUGGUCGCAAAGAGAUCAUCCUUCACUCUUCACUCUACGUUGAACAU